GAGCAAGUAAUCAAAUUAAUUUU
This 23-nucleotide small nuclear RNA is filed under the name Arabidopsis thaliana (thale cress). RNAcentral describes it as "snRNA_18177". Lineage: Eukaryota; Viridiplantae; Streptophyta; Magnoliopsida; Brassicales; Brassicaceae. The record is from RNAcentral.